Molecule: transfer RNA, 72 nt
Filed under: Camelus bactrianus (Bactrian camel)
Lineage: Eukaryota; Metazoa; Chordata; Mammalia; Artiodactyla; Camelidae
Also listed under: 3 other names
Rfam family: tRNA
About the family: Transfer RNA (tRNA) molecules are approximately 80 nucleotides in length.
Source: Rfam by way of RNAcentral
GAGGGUAUAGCUCAGUGGUAGAGUGCGUGCUUAGCAUGCAUGAGGCCCUGAGUUCAAUCCCUAGUACCUGCA